This 45-nucleotide non-coding RNA is filed under the name Schistosoma margrebowiei. The record is from RNAcentral. Lineage: Eukaryota; Metazoa; Platyhelminthes; Trematoda; Strigeidida; Schistosomatidae.
AUCCGGCUGACGAGUCUCAUAUAGGACGAAACGUAUGUUCUAGAU